AUAAAAUUGAGAAUGGAAAUGGGGAAUGUGUCAAAGAGACAACAACCCGACCAUAGAGCAGACAACAGCCGAAGGCCACCAAUGGGUCUUCAAUGCAGCGAGAAACUCCCGCACCCGGAGGCGUCCUUCAGCUGGCCCCUAAACAAAUAUGUAUACUAGUUCAGUGGUAAUGGACGUCAUACUAAACUCCAAAUUAUACACAAGAAACUAAAAUUAAUAAAAUGCUCCGCAGGGCGCAGCUUGAUACGACCGCAGAGGUCGAACCCUGAACAGUUGGGGCAAGGAUGGACACAACAUUCAAGCUUGAUACAGCUCUGAAUUUGGAUUGUGAUUAAAUAUAUGACACAGCAUAGGUUUCUGACACAGAAAGAAUGUGGUCUAAGAACUUGAAUUUUUUGAAUUUACCUAUUAUGGUCCAAUGUCCAAAAUCAAAAUACAUGGUUAGAUUCAGCAUAUCAAAGAACCCCAUAUAUUCAAUUUUUGUUAAAAUCAAACAAAGUUUAAUUUUGGACCCCAACUUGGACAAACUUGAAAACUGGGCCCAUAAUCAAAAAUCUAAACACAUGUUUAGAUUCAGCAUAUCAAAGAACCCCAAGAAUUCAAUUUUUGCUAAAAUCAAACUAAGUUUAAUUUUGGACCCUUUGGACCUUAAUGUAGACCAAUUUAAAAAACGGGACUUAAAAUUAAAAAUCUAAAUAUACGCUUAGAUUUGGAAUAUCAAAGAACCCCAAUAAUUCAAUUUUUGAUGAAAUCAAACAAAGUUUAAUUUUGGACCCUUUUGACCUCAAUAUGAACCAAUUUGAUAGCAGGGCCCACAAAUAAAAAAUCUAAAUUCAUGGUUAGAUUCAGCAUAACAAAGAACCCCAUAUAUUCAAUUUUUGUUGAAAUCAAAAAAAGUAUAAUUUUGGACCCCAACUUGGACCAACUUGAAAACUGGGCCCAUAAUCAAAAAUCUAAACACAUGUUUAGAUUCAGCAUAUCAAAGAACCCCAAGAAUUCAAUUUUUGUUAAAAUCAAACUAAGUUUAAUUUUGGACCCUUUGGACCUCAAUGAAGACCAAUUUAAAAAACGGGACCCAAAUUAAAAAUCUAAAAACACGGUUAGAUUUGGCAUAUCAAAGAACCCCAAUAAUUCAAUUUUCGAUGAAAUCAAACAAAGUUUAAUUUUGGACCCUUUUGACCUCAAUAUGAGCCAAUUUGAUAGCGGGGCC
Molecule: long non-coding RNA, 1210 nt
Organism: Mytilus californianus (California mussel)
Lineage: Eukaryota; Metazoa; Mollusca; Bivalvia; Mytilida; Mytilidae
Exons: 2
Source: RefSeq, a predicted model, not a curated record